This 254-nucleotide ribosomal RNA is filed under the name uncultured prokaryote. Its description in RNAcentral is "partial 16S ribosomal RNA". It matches the Rfam family "Bacterial small subunit ribosomal RNA", at positions 524 to 776 of the family's 1533-position model. The record is from RNAcentral.
GACGGAGGGUGCAAGCGUUGUUCGGAAUUACUGGGCGUAAAGGGCGGGCAGGUGGUCUGUUAAGUCGUCUGUGAAAAUCCGGGGCUCAACCCCGUGAAAUGCAGGCGAAACUGGCAGACUGGAGACCAGUAGAGGCUAGCGGAAUUCCUGGUGUAGCGGUGGAAUGCGUAGAUAUCAGGAAGAACACCUGUGGCGAAGGCGGCUAGCUGGGCUGGAUCUGACACUCAUCCGCGAAAGCGUGGGGAGCAAACAGG